CUCCGCUCUAUCAGAAGGAUGUCCAGUAUUUGGUUGUGAUACAAUCUUAUAAGUGCUAGUAUCUAUAGGCUCGUCUUGAAUCACUAAGUUAUCUUCUUUAUUAUAUUCAUGUACUUCUUCAACCACGAGAGGUGGCCCAUCAUUUUGUUCACCAAUAGCCGCUACAAUCUCAUCUAACCCGAGAUCGUUAUUAUCAUCGUCAUCAUAGUUCAUGUCAUCACCAUUCCA
This 228-nucleotide long non-coding RNA is filed under the name Aquilegia coerulea. RNAcentral describes it as "long non-coding RNA (ACOE_LNC000512)". Lineage: Eukaryota; Viridiplantae; Streptophyta; Magnoliopsida; Ranunculales; Ranunculaceae. The record is from RNAcentral.